AUACAGAGGGUGCGAGCGUUAAUCGGAAUUACUGGGCGUAAAGCGCGCGUAGGCGGCUUGGUCAGUCGGAUGUGAAAGCCCCGGGCUCAACCUGGGAAUGGCAUUCGAUACUGCCAGGCUAGAGUAUGGGAGAGGGAAGUGGAAUUUCCGGUGUAGCGGUGAAAUGCGUAGAUAUCGGAAGGAACACCAGUGGCGAAGGCGACUUCCUGGCCCAAUACUGACGCUGAGGUGCGAAAGCGUGGGGAGCGAACAGAAUUAGAAACCCUAGUAGUCC
RNAcentral lists this ribosomal RNA (274 nucleotides) under uncultured bacterium. Its description in RNAcentral is "partial 16S ribosomal RNA". It matches the Rfam family "Bacterial small subunit ribosomal RNA", at positions 523 to 796 of the family's 1533-position model. The record is from RNAcentral.